Molecule: unclassified non-coding RNA, 256 nt
Filed under: uncultured fungus
Lineage: Eukaryota; Fungi
Description: partial contains 5.8S ribosomal RNA, internal transcribed spacer 2, and large subunit ribosomal RNA
Source: RNAcentral
AACGCACAUUGCGCCCUCUGGCAUUCCGGGGGGCAUGCCCGUUCGAGCGUCAUUAAAUCCAAUCAAGCCUGGCUUGGUAUUGGGCCGCGGGGACGUUACCGCGCCUGAAUUUCACCGGCUGGCCGUCGCCCGUCUUAGCGCAGUGACACACUCUCGCUAACGGCGGGCAGAACCACGCCGUCAGAACGCAACGGAUUCCUCGCGGAAUUCGAUUAAGGUUGACCUCGGAUCGGGUAGGAAUACCCGCUGAACUUAA